AAGAAAAAAAAACUUAAAAAGCAAAACAGAGACAAGUUUGAACAAAACAAAAGAAAAAUUAACGAAACAUAAAAUAAGGAAAAAUAUUUUAUGCUGAGUGUGAUUUGUGUUUUCUAUAAAAAAUAAUGGUCUUUACGGUGCAAUUUUAUUGAUCGGGUAUUUAACAUUCACUCAUUUGAAGCAAAGCAACAACAACAAAAAACACACAAGCAAUAUGCGACCAACUCUUUUCAUUUGUACAGAAAUUUUUCUUUUUGUUUUGUUAUUUUGAAUUCGAUUGAUUUGAUUCGGAUUCAAUCCACUUUUAAUAGCUAAUGGAAUUUCGGUGAGGAAACGAAUACGUUUUCGAUGCAUAAAAAUGCUGCAACAUGCCAUUUUCCGGUGAUCGGGAGACAUCAAACGGUGGUCGUACAUCAAGUGGAUGAAGGAACAACCACAAAAAAAAACAAUUUGAGUUUGUUGGCGUUCAUUUUUGCUUUCCAGAUAUGGUAGGUUGAGUAAACUCUGCCUCUAUGUGCUCACAAAGCUUUACCGACUGGACGUAGAUGACAUUGUCAUACUUAACAUAAUUAUUACUUCUAAAGUCAAAUUCUUCCGAGAUUUAUUUUAAUUGUAAGUGACUGAUUAGUGACCACUGUGACCAGUCGUACCAAAAGUAAACAGAAAUUUGCCAGUCAUUUUCUUGAAAGACAGAAAAAAAAUAUUUUUAUUUACUGAAGAUAGAAUCUUAUCCUUGUGUGGAUGGCUUGCAGCAUUUUUAUGUAUCUAAAACAUAGUUCGAUUUUGCGGUUGCAAAUUAAGUUUUUUUUUUGUGGAAUUUUCGUUUUUUCAAUCAAUUGCAACAGAGUUUUGUUUCAUCAAGAAGAAGAAAAAAAUGUCGUGUAAGGAAAAUCGCGAUUCGUUGGUUGUAUUGAGGUAAAUUAAAUGAUUGAUUAAUUUUAGUAAUAAUUCGUUUCUGUAUUCAUCACAAUGUUGUCGGGCACCGUCAUUUCACUGUCGGUCUCUCCAUUUCUUCAGCUAUUUGAUGCAAUGAAUCGCGAAUGACGAACUGUUUAGGAAAAACUGAUUGUCGAGCACAGAAAGUCUAACAACAGGAAGUGAGUUGAUUUUAAGUUGUUGUAUCAAGUGCAAAAGAAUUUGAAUCUUGAAGCAUAAAAAUUGAACCGAUCAUCCGAGGUAAGUUUUCGAUGUGACAACUUCUUUCCCGCCUUUCUUAAAGAAAGGCAAUAGAUGGCAAGUGGCAAAACAGUAGGUAUAUCUACUGAUGUCAGCCUUGCAUUUCUAUGCGCCGAUGUAACUGUCUUACAAAACAGUAGACGACGAUUUCUUUCCCAAAUAUUUGUGUUACGAAAGUCGAUAUGCGUGUCGCAUGUCGAGCAAUACCAUCCAUUUUUUUAGUAGUUUGCAUAACUAAACAACAGAACCAUCACUCAGUACCAUAGAAAUAUUAUUUGAAGGAAAAGCUGCUUAUGAUUUCUUCGAUGUGUCUCAGACAAAUAUUUGUCUAUUAAAUUGAUUGGUAAUGCAACAUUCACACCUCUCACCAGUUGAUCCAAAUAAUAUUAUUUUUUGCAUUUCAUACAGUUAAUGUCAACCAAAUUUAUGGUUAGAUUUGCUUCACCUGUUUUACCAGGUCAUUCAUACAACUUUUAUGUCUUCAUAAGUUUCUGUCUUUUUGUCAUUAUAUAUCUCACAAUUGUAAAGUGAACUUUACAGUAGAGCAAGCGAACUUCAAGUAGCUCGAUACAUAAAACUAUUUAAGCCAUUAGAACUGUGAGCCGGUAUCUCGGUUCUCGAUGUAGUAAUCAAGGUUUACUCCAUCUAGAACCGUUUACUUUUACUC
Long non-coding RNA from Bradysia coprophila, 1843 nucleotides. Lineage: Eukaryota; Metazoa; Arthropoda; Insecta; Diptera; Sciaridae. The record is from RefSeq and is a predicted model, not a curated record.